UACGUAGGAGGCAAGCGUUGUCCGGAAUCACUGGGCGUAAAGCGCGCGUAGGCGGAUCGCUAAGUCUGUGGUGAAAGCGCCUGGCUUAACCGGGCGAGGUCCAUGGAAACUAGCGGUCUGGAGGCCGGUAGAGGGGGGUGGAAUUCCGGGUGUAGUGGUGAAAUGCGUAGAGAUCCGGAGGAACACCAGUGGCGAAGGCGGCCCCCUGGGCCGCGCCUGACGCUGAGACGCGAAAGCGCGGGGAGCGAACGGG
This 253-nucleotide ribosomal RNA is filed under the name uncultured bacterium. RNAcentral's name for it is "partial 16S ribosomal RNA". It matches the Rfam family "Bacterial small subunit ribosomal RNA", at positions 524 to 776 of the family's 1533-position model. The record is from RNAcentral.